UACGAAGGGUGCAAGCGUUAAUCGGAAUUACUGGGCGUAAAGCGUGCGCAGGCGGCGCGUUAAGACAGGUGUGAAAGCCCCGAGCUUAACUUGGGAAUUGCGCUUGUGACUGGCGUGCUGGAGUGUGGCAGAGGGAGGUGGAAUUCCACGUGUAGCAGUGAAAUGCGUAGAGAUGUGGAGGAACACCGAUGGCGAAGGCAGCCUCCUGGGCCAGCACUGACGCUCAUGCACGAAAGCGUGGGGAGCAAACAGG
This 253-nucleotide ribosomal RNA is filed under the name uncultured bacterium. Its description in RNAcentral is "partial 16S ribosomal RNA". It matches the Rfam family "Bacterial small subunit ribosomal RNA", at positions 524 to 776 of the family's 1533-position model. The record is from RNAcentral.